Molecule: ribosomal RNA, 509 nt
Filed under: uncultured bacterium
Lineage: Bacteria
Description: partial 16S ribosomal RNA
Rfam family: Bacterial small subunit ribosomal RNA
Source: RNAcentral
GACGAACGCUGGCGGCGUGCUUAACACAUGCAAGUCGAACGAAAAGCGACGGAAGUUUUCUUGUGUCCAUCUUGGUGGCGGACGGGUGAGUAACGAGUAAUCAACCCUCCAUUCAGGGGGGAACUACGGUAAGAAGGGACUACUACUACCGCAUACGACCUAACCUCGGCAUCGAUGGUAAAUGAUAGGUGGGCUGUACAUGAAAGCUGGCACUGCAGGUGGUGAUUGCGCCGGUUUAGCUAGUUGGCGGGGUAACGGCCCACCAAGGCGAUGAUCAGUAGCCGAACGGAGAGGAUGAUCGGCCACAUUGGAACUGAGACACGGCCCAGACUCCUACGGGAGGCAGCAGUGGGGAAUCUGCGGCAAUGGACGAAAGUCUGACGGAGCAACGCCGCGUGAGUGAUGACGGCCUUCGGUUCGUAAAGCUCUGUUACUCGGGACGAAACGCCUUCUCGCGAAAAGUGGCGUGGGUGACGGUAACCGGUAAAGAAGCCCCGGCUAACUACGGG